UACGUAGGGUGCAAGCGUUAAUCGGAAUUACUGGGCGUAAAGCGUGCGCAGGCGGUUUUGUAAGUCUGACGUGAAAUCCCCGGGCUCAACCUGGGAAUUGCGUUGGAGACUGCAAGGCUGGAGUCUGGCAGAGGGGGGUAGAAUUCCACGUGUAGCAGUGAAAUGCGUAGAGAUGUGGAGGAACACCGAUGGCGAAGGCCAGCCCCCUGGGUCAAGACUGACGCUCAUGCACGAA
Molecule: ribosomal RNA, 235 nt
Filed under: uncultured bacterium
Lineage: Bacteria
Description: partial 16S ribosomal RNA
Rfam family: Bacterial small subunit ribosomal RNA
Source: RNAcentral